Molecule: ribosomal RNA, 274 nt
Filed under: uncultured bacterium
Lineage: Bacteria
Description: partial 16S ribosomal RNA
Rfam family: Bacterial small subunit ribosomal RNA
Source: RNAcentral
AUACGGAGGGUGCAAGCGUUACUUGGAAUCACUGGGCGUAAAGCGCGCGCAGGCGGCUAUUUAAGUUGGAUGUGAAAGCCUACGGCUCAACCGUAGAACUGCAUCCAAAACUAUUUAGCUAGAGUGUGGGAGAGGAAGAUGGAAUUAGUUGUGUAGGGGUAAAAUCCGUAGAGAUAACUAGGAAUACCAAAAGCGAAGGCAAUCUUCUGGAACACUACUGACGCUGAGGCGCGAAAGCGUGGGGAGCAAACGGGAUUAGAAACCCUAGUAGUCC